UAAAGCGAAUAAGGGCGCAUGGUGGAUGCCUAGGCUCCGAGAGGCGAUGAAGGACGUGGUAAGCUGCGAAAAGCUACGGGGAGAUGCAAACGAUCGUUACAUCCGUAGAUCUCCGAAUGGGACAACCCGCCGUGCUGAAGGCACGGCACCCCGCGAGGGGGGCCAACGCAGGGAACUGAAACAUCUAAGUACCUGCAGGAAAAGAAAAUAACAAUGAUUCCCCAAGUAGUGGCGAGCGAACGGGGAAGAGCCCAAACCGGGGCGGCGUGCUGCCCCGGGGUUGUAGGACCGCGUUUAGGACCCGGCAUCAAGCAGAAUUACCUGGAAAGGUAAGCCGUAGCAGGUGACAGCCCUGUAGGCGGAAAUUGCCGGCGACGAGCGGUAUCCUGAGUAGCGCGGGACCGGAGGAAUCCCGCGUGAACCCGCCAGCACCAUCUGGCAAGGCUAAAUACUCCUCGGAGACCGAUAGUGAACCAGUACCGUAAGGGAAAGGUGAAAAGUACCCCGAACAGGGGAGUGAAAUAGUACCUGAAACCGUGCGCCUACAAGCGGUCGGAGUCCCGGUCCGCCGGGAUGACGGCGUGCCUUUUGCAUAAUGAGCCUACGAGUUACGCCCCGCCGGCGAGGUUAAGUUCCUCGGUAACGGAGCCGCAGCGAAAGCGAGUCCUAACAGGGCGUUAUAGUCGGCGGGGGUAGACGCGAAACUUUGUGAUCUAUCCAUGGGCAGGAUGAAGUCCCGGUAACACGGGAUGGAGGUCCGAACCCGUUAACGUUGAAAAGUUAUGGGAUGACCCGUGGAUAGGGGUGAAAGGCCAAUCAAACUGAGAGAUAGCUCGUUCUCCCCGAAAUGUUUUUAGGAACAGCCCCGGGAUGGAGGUAUCGUAGAGGUAGAGCUACUAAUUGGGCUAGGGGGCUUCACCGCCUACCAAACCCUGAUAAACUCCGAAUGCUACGAUACGUACCCGGGAGUGAGGCUGCGGGCGCUAAGGUCCGUGGCCGAGAGGGAAAUAACCCAGACUAGCAGCUAAGGUCCCCAAUGGUACGCUAAGUUGAACAAACGCGGUCCGGAUCCUACGACAGCCAGGAUGUUGGCUUGGAAGCAGCCAUUCAUUUAAAGAGUGCGUAACAGCUCACUGGUCGAGGGUCCGGGCACGGAAAAUGAUCGGGCAUCAAGCGUGCAACCGAAGCUCUAGGGUGGCGCGGCAUAAGCCGCCCACCGGUAGGGGAGCAUUCCGGCCUGCGCCGAAGGUGUACCGCGAGGUAUGCUGGAGCGGCCGGAAAAGAAAAUGUAGGCAUAAGUAACGAUAAGGGGGAUGAAAAAUCCCCCCGCCGCAAGACUAAGGGUUCCUGAUCAACGCUAAUCGGAUCAGGGUUAGUCGGGUCCUUAGGCGUAGCCGAGAGGCGAAGCUGAUGGCAAGCCGGUGAAUAUUCCGGCACCCGCCCGCAAUUCGACGGGGUAACGGAGAAGUGAAAGGACUGCGCAGUUACGGAAUACUGCGUUGAAGGGUGUAGUUAUAGGCCGCGUAGGAAAACCCGCGCGGCUUGGCGAACCUGAUAGUACGGCGAGGCCCCGGCCAAGCCGAUAACGUCCCUAACCAUGCUCCCGAGAAAACCCCCUAAGGCCAGUUGCGUGGCGGCCCGUACCGUAAACCGACACAGGUAGUCGAGGAGAGUAUCCUCAGGCGCUCGGGUGAUCCGUGGUAAAGGAACUAGGCAAAUUGACGCUGUAACUUCGGGAUAAGGCGUACCGCAGCGAUGCGGUCUCAGUGAAAUGGUCCAACCAACUGUUUAACAAAAACACAGGGCCCUGCAAAAUCGAAAGAUGACGUAUAGAGCCUGAUACCUGCCCGGUGCUGGAAGGUUAAGGAAGGGUGUUCGGGGUAACCCAAAGCUCCUGACUGAAGCCCCAGUAAACGGCGGCCGUAACUAUAACGGUCCUAAGGUAGCGAAAUUCCUUGUCGGGUAAGUUCCGACCUGCACGAAUGGUCUAAUGAGUUGGACACUGUCUCUACCACGAGCCCGGUGAAAUUGUAGUAUCGGUGAAGAUGCCGGUUAAUCGCAACGGGACGGAAAGACCCCGUGAACCUUCACUACAACUUAACAUUGAUUUUGGGUAAUAGGUGUGUAGGAUAGUUGGGAGACUUUGAUGCGCGCUCGCCAGGGCGCGCGGAGUCGUCGUUGAAAUACCAACCUCCUGUUACUUAGAGUCUAAUCCCGCGCAAGCGGGAGACAUUGUUUGGUGGGUAGUUUGACUGGGGUGGUCGCCUCCUAAAAGGUAACGGAGGCUCGCAAAGGUACCCUCAGUACGGUUGGUAAUCGUACGCAGAGCGCAUUAGUAUAAGGGUGCUUGACUGUGGGGCAUACAAGCCGAGCAGGUGCGAAAGCAGGCUAAAGUGAUCCGGCGGUUCUGCAUGGAAGGGCCGUCGCUCAAAGGAUAAAAGGUACUCCGGGGAUAACAGGCUGAUCUCACCCAAGAGCUCAUAUCGACGGUGAGGUUUGGCACCUCGAUGUCGGUUCGUCACAUCCUGGGGCUGGAGAAGGUCCCAAGGGUUCGGCUGUUCGCCGAUUAAAGUGGCACGUGAACUGGGUUCAGAACGUCGCAAGACAGUUCGGUCCCUAUCUGUUGUGAUCGUUAGUAAAUUGUGGGGAUAUGACCUUAGUACGAGAGGACCGGGUCGUACGUACCGCUGGUGUAUCUGUUGUGCCGCCAGGUGCAGUGCAGAGUAGCUAUGUACGGUCAAGAUAAACGCUGAAAGCAUCUAAGCGUGAAACUUACCCCGAGAUGAGUUUACUUUCAAGGGCCGUCGGAGACGACGACGUUGAUAGGCUACAGGUGUAAGGGUGGUAACACCGCAGCCGAGUAGUACUAAUUGCCCGUAAGCUUUAACUUUAU
Molecule: ribosomal RNA, 2893 nt
Filed under: Chitinophaga caeni
Lineage: Bacteria; Pseudomonadati; Bacteroidota; Chitinophagia; Chitinophagales; Chitinophagaceae
Description: bacterial LSU rRNA
Rfam family: Bacterial large subunit ribosomal RNA
Source: RNAcentral